This 460-nucleotide ribosomal RNA is filed under the name uncultured bacterium. RNAcentral's name for it is "partial 16S ribosomal RNA". It matches the Rfam family "Bacterial small subunit ribosomal RNA", at positions 338 to 795 of the family's 1533-position model. The record is from RNAcentral.
CCUACGGGUGGCAGCAGUGAGGAAUAUUGGUCAAUGGGCGCGAGCCUGAACCAGCCAAGUAGCGUGAGGGAUGACGGCCCUACGUGUUGUAAACUUCAUUUGUAAAGGAGUAAAGUAAAGCACGUGUGCCUGUUGGUAUGGACUUUAUGAAUAAGGAUGGGCUAGCUCCGUGCCAGCAGCCGCGGUAAUACGGAGGAUCCGAGCGUUAUCCGGAUUUAUUGGGUUUAAAGGGAGCGUAGAGGGGUUGUUAAGUCAGUAGUGAAAGCUCGCGGCUCAACCGUGAAAUUGCAAUUGAUACUGGGAGGCUUGAGUACAGUUGAGGUAGGCGGAAUUCGUGGUGUAGCGGUGAAAUGCUUAGAUAUCAGGAAGAACUCCGAUUGCGAAGGCAGCUUACUAAACUGCCACUGACACUGAUGCUCGAAAGUGUGGGGAGCAAACAGGAUUAGAUACCCCUGUAGUC